UACAGAGGGUGCGAGCGUUAAUCGGAAUUACUGGGCGUAAAGCGUACGUAGGUGGUUAGGAAAGUCAGUGGUGAAAGCCCAGAGCUCAACUCUGGAAUUGCCAUUGAUACUCUCUAGCUAGAGUUCUAAAGAGGAUAGUGGAAUUUCCGGUGUAGCGGUGAAAUGCGUAGAUAUCGGAAGGAACACCAGUGGCGAAGGCGACUAUCUGGGUAAGAACUGACACUGAGGUACGAAAGCGUGGGGAGCAAACAGG
Molecule: ribosomal RNA, 253 nt
Filed under: uncultured bacterium
Lineage: Bacteria
Description: partial 16S ribosomal RNA
Rfam family: Bacterial small subunit ribosomal RNA
Source: RNAcentral